AAUCAACGCUGGCGGCGUGCCUAACACAUGCAAGUCGAACGCGAAAGUCCCGCAAGGGAUAAGUAGAGUGGCAAACGGGUGAGUAACACGUGGGUGACCUGCCUUCGAGUGGGGGAUAACGUCCCGAAAGGGACGCUAAUACCGCAUGACAUCCUGCUUUUGAACAGGUGGAGAUCAAAGCUGGGGAUCGCAAGACCUAGCGCUUGAAGAGGGGCCCGCGCCUGAUAGCUAGUUGGUGGGGUAACGGCUCACCAAGGCGACGAUCAGUAUCCGGCCUGAGAGGGCGGACGGACACACUGGGACUGAGACACGGCCCAGACUCCUACGGGAGGCAGCAGUGGGGAAUUGUUCGCAAUGGGCGCAAGCCUGACGACGCAACGCCGCGUGGAGGAU
Molecule: ribosomal RNA, 393 nt
Filed under: uncultured bacterium
Lineage: Bacteria
Description: bacterial SSU rRNA
Rfam family: Bacterial small subunit ribosomal RNA
Source: RNAcentral